Molecule: long non-coding RNA, 380 nt
Filed under: Homo sapiens (human)
Lineage: Eukaryota; Metazoa; Chordata; Mammalia; Primates; Hominidae
Description: HSALNT0383281
Source: RNAcentral
GCCAGAAUCCAUAUCCUGUUCCAAGAUGCCUGUUCCAAACUCCCAUCACUAAAGUUUAGGUAAUGUUCAAUGCAGCCAAGGGAGCUAAGGUAAUGAACAAAACAGAGAAGUUCCUACCCUCCCUGAUGUUCAUUCUAGCAAAUGGAGACAGAUGAUAGAAACUGCACAUCAUUGAGCAAGAGGGACACCAUGGAUAAUGGAAAGAUCUACGGCAAGGCUGGCUGUCUGCCCUGUCUAAGGAGGACGUACUGGACCAUCCUGCUCUGCACAUCCAGAUGUGUCCAUGAAUACAUCCAUAAAACGAUGGCCUGUGGAAUCCUAUAGGAAAAUGAUCCAGAGCCUGGGCGGUCAGAAGGAACAAACACUUGAUUUACAAAAUA